GAUGAACGCUGGCGGCGUGCCUAAUACAUGCAAGUCGAGCGAACGGACGAGAAGCUUGCUUCUCUGAUGUUAGCGGCGGACGGGUGAGUAACACGUGGAUAACCUACCUAUAAGACUGGGAUAACUUCGGGAAACCGGAGCUAAUACCGGAUAAUAUUUUGAACCGCAUGGUUCAAAAGUGAAAGACGGUCUUGCUGUCACUUAUAGAUGGAUCCGCGCUGCAUUAGCUAGUUGGUAAGGUAACGGCUUACCAAGGCAACGAUGCAUAGCCGACCUGAGAGGGUGAUCGGCCACACUGGAACUGAGACACGGUCCAGACUCCUACGGGAGGCAGCAGUAGGGAAUCUUCCGCAAUGGGCGAAAGCCUGACGGAGCAACGCCGCGUGAGUGAUGAAGGUCUUCGGAUCGUAAAACUCUGUUAUUAGGGAAGAACAUAUGUGUAAGUAACUGUGCACAUCUUGACGGUACCUAAUCAGAAAGCCACGGCUAACUACGUGCCAGCAGCCGCGGUAAUACGUAGGUGGCAAGCGUUAUCCGGAAUUAUUGGGCGUAAAGCGCGCGUAGGCGGUUUUUUAAGUCUGAUGUGAAAGCCCACGGCUCAACCGUGGAGGGUCAUUGGAAACUGGAAAACUUGAGUGCAGAAGAGGAAAGUGGAAUUCCAUGUGUAGCGGUGAAAUGCGCAGAGAUAUGGAGGAACACCAGUGGCGAAGGCGACUUUCUGGUCUGUAACUGACGCUGAUGUGCGAAAGCGUGGGGAUCAAACAGGAUUAGAUACCCUGGUAGUCCACGCCGUAAACGAUGAGUGCUAAGUGUUAGGGGGUUUCCGCCCCUUAGUGCUGCAGCUAACGCAUUAAGCACUCCGCCUGGGGAGUACGACCGCAAGGUUGAAACUCAAAGGAAUUGACGGGGACCCGCACAAGCGGUGGAGCAUGUGGUUUAAUUCGAAGCAACGCGAAGAACCUUACCAAAUCUUGACAUCCUUUGACAACUCUAGAGAUAGAGCUUUCCCCUUCGGGGGACAAAGUGACAGGUGGUGCAUGGUUGUCGUCAGCUCGUGUCGUGAGAUGUUGGGUUAAGUCCCGCAACGAGCGCAACCCUUAAGCUUAGUUGCCAUCAUUAAGUUGGGCACUCUAAGUUGACUGCCGGUGACAAACCGGAGGAAGGUGGGGAUGACGUCAAAUCAUCAUGCCCCUUAUGAUUUGGGCUACACACGUGCUACAAUGGACAAUACAAAGGGCAGCGAAACCGCGAGGUCAAGCAAAUCCCAUAAAGUUGUUCUCAGUUCGGAUUGUAGUCUGCAACUCGACUACAUGAGGCUGGAAUCGCUAGUAAUCGUAGAUCAGCAUGCUACGGUGAAUACGUUCCCGGGUCU
RNAcentral lists this ribosomal RNA (1372 nucleotides) under uncultured bacterium. RNAcentral's name for it is "bacterial SSU rRNA". It matches the Rfam family "Bacterial small subunit ribosomal RNA", at positions 28 to 1381 of the family's 1533-position model. The record is from RNAcentral.